ACACAGUCGAGGUGAGAUGAGUCUAGGAAAAUGAGAAGAGGCAUUAGUCCUUUAGACUGCAGACCCUUAACUGUUUGUUUGUUUAUUUUAAGUCUUUAUAAGGAACUGAUGACUGAACCCAGAAUAAAUGCGGGAACUGGAGCUUAGAUCCGUUGAUGAACAUGCUGUAAAAGGAUUGUCCUCUCAACACUGGAACUCCAUUUCCUGAAGGAACUGAAGAGUGUGAACCUGCUGAUCUGUGAUACACUGGUGCCCUUGCCGGACCACAUAACGAUGGCGCUUCCCAAACCCAAAAUGAGCAUCAAAUGGAUUCUGGAUGAGAGCCUGGAACGAGAACAUGGGCUGUUGAAAUGCACCAGGAGGAAAAACCUGGGAGAAGAGUGCGGAAGAGGACGAUUCCUGGCCUCAACAGAAGGUUAUCUCAGCCCAAAGCAACCGGCAAGAGCACCGUCUAGAGGAAAAAAUGGUUUCAAAGGAGAGGAACUGAGUUGGAGGUUAUGGAAGUGCACAAGGAGACUUGGUAAGAGCAGAGCAGCUAGAAUGUGAUUUGAUUCAUUUUGGACUUGGAAUCUUGAAAGCCUACACAGCCCUGGUGU
Molecule: long non-coding RNA, 596 nt
Filed under: Calidris pugnax (ruff)
Lineage: Eukaryota; Metazoa; Chordata; Aves; Charadriiformes; Scolopacidae
Description: lncRNA (ENSCPUG00000000637.1)
Source: RNAcentral